CGAUCUGAGGUUCAACCUUGGGUCGACUGGAAGGCUUCAGUUUAACAACCUCUUCCGUCCAUGGAAUGGGUUUUGUAAUGGAAUCCUUUUUCCAAUCGAUGCGCAGAGAAGAUCUGCUCUCCUCCUCUUCACUUUCUUGCUCUUCAACUACGCUCUGUUCGAAGGUCUCAGUUUUCAAAGACUCGCGUCUUGUAACAGACACCUCGGUCUUCUUUGGUUUUUUCAGAGGCUGUAGAUCCACUCGUUCGACCUGCGGUUUUUCAACAGGUUGCUUUUGAGGCCUACUAGGCUUCAGUUGAACCUCCUGCAGAAUCGAUUCUUUCGUAACUUCCGUUUUUUCAACCUUAGACUUCCGCAAGGUAAUAUUUUCCUCCGUCCACGGUUUGGGAGUUUCUACUUUCUUGUGUUCGACGUCUUCCACUGUCGAUUUCUUAACUUGUAAGAGACUUGUGUCAUCUGAUUCCAGAUAUUCCAUCGUCGACGUAUCCUGUGAUUGGAAAUCACGAGUGAUUUUCAUCUGCUUGGUAGGCUUUGGUUCCAAUUUAUCAGUUUCCUGUUUCUCAGGCUUCGUCGGUCUCAAUUCGACGUCUUCUAUCGUUUCUUUGGGAACCUCUUUCUUUUCUACCUGUACCUUCUUCAGCGAAAUUUUCUCCUCCGUCCAUGGCUUGGGCUUAUCAACUUUUUUACGUUCGAUCUCUUCCACAGUCGAUUUUCUGACAUGCAAGCGACUCGUAUCAUCCGAUUCAAGAUAUUCCACGGUAGACUCUUCUUGCAAUCGAGAAUCACGCUCGACUACAUUCUGUUUACCAGGUAUUAAUUUCAAUUCACUUAUUUCCUGCUUCUCAGGUUUCACCGGUCUCAAUUCAACGUCCUCUAUUGUCUCCUUGGGUAUUUCUUUCUUCUCGACUUGCACCUUUUUCAAAGAGAUUUUUUCUUCGGUCCACGGCUUAGGUUUAUCAGAUGUCUUCUGUUGGACAUCCGUUCUACUGACCCUGCGUAUUUUCAAGAGCUUAGUCUCGUCCGUUUCUACGUAAUCGGUAGCGGAAUCGAUCAUUUCCUCUUCAACUUGCUCACUUUUCGGUUUGCUUUUCUUCAGCUGAAUCUUUUCUUCCGUCCAGGGAAUCGGUCCCUGCGUAGAAGGAGCUGUUCGAACUUCAUGUUCGUCAACGUCGGUGCUAAUGACAUCCUUGGAUAUGUGCUUGAGAUCCACGUGUUCAACGCUAGAUUUUCGAAUCUCUUUCUUUUCAGUCUUGACGCGUUUCAGUUCAACCUCUUCCAGUUUUUCUUUUGGAAUUUCCUUGAUCGUGUGCGGUGCUUUUUUCAGCACAACGUCUUCUUCCGUCCAAGGUUUUACCUGAUGUUCGAGUCUGGCCUGUUGUAAUUUGUCGAGAGAAGUGUCCCUCGACUUCGGCUUAGCCUUUCUCCACGGUGUUACGUUAGCUACCCGAGGUCUGUGUUUCACGCGUCCUUGACGCCACGGUAGCGUUUCGUCACCCGCUUGAAGAACUUCACCUAUCGGAUGACCUUCUUGGUCAAGCUCAAUCAAGCCAUCGCUAGGUCCCUGAAUUAUUCCGCCCUUACCGGCGGAACCUUUCAAUGGUCCCUGUCCGGAUUUCGCACCGGGGCCACUCUCAUCGAUCAAAGAUGUCUCAUAAAAAACACCUUGUCGUUCUGCAAUCAUUCAUUUAUACGGAAUACAUUCGUAUAGAUUUCGGUUCUAUUUUCCUGAUUGGAAAAAAAAAAAAAAC
Molecule: unclassified non-coding RNA, 1748 nt
Filed under: Athalia rosae (coleseed sawfly)
Lineage: Eukaryota; Metazoa; Arthropoda; Insecta; Hymenoptera; Athaliidae
Description: misc RNA ENSAEAG00005011349.1
Source: RNAcentral